This 460-nucleotide ribosomal RNA is filed under the name uncultured bacterium. Its description in RNAcentral is "partial 16S ribosomal RNA". It matches the Rfam family "Bacterial small subunit ribosomal RNA", at positions 338 to 795 of the family's 1533-position model. The record is from RNAcentral.
CCUACGGGUGGCAGCAGUGAGGAAUAUUGGUCAAUGGACGCGAGCCUGAACCAGCCAAGUAGCGUGAAGGAUGACUGCCCUACGGGUUGUAAACUGCUUUUAUAAAGGAAUAAAGUGCGGCACGUGUGCCUUUUUGUAUGUACUUUAUGAAUAAGGAUCGGCUAACUCCGUGCCAGCAGCCGCGGUAAUACGGAGGAUCCGAGCGUUAUCCGGAUUUAUUGGGUUUAAAGGGAGCGUAGGUGGAUUGUUAAGUCAGUUGUGAAAUUUUGCGGCUCAACCGUGAAAUUGCAGUUGAUACUGGCAGGCUUGAGUACAGUAGAGGUGGGCGGAAUGCGUGGUGUAGCGGUGAAAUGCUUAGAGAUCACGAAGAACUCCGAUUGCGAAGGCAGCUCACUGGACUGCAACUGACACUGAGGCUCGAAAGUGUGGGUAUCAAACAGGAUUAGAUACCCGUGUAGUC